RNAcentral lists this ribosomal RNA (483 nucleotides) under uncultured bacterium. Its description in RNAcentral is "bacterial SSU rRNA". It matches the Rfam family "Bacterial small subunit ribosomal RNA", at positions 28 to 507 of the family's 1533-position model. The record is from RNAcentral.
GACGAACGCUGGCGGCGUGCUUAACACAUGCAAGUCGAGCGGGGAUGCGAGCCUGAUCGCUUCGGCGUGAAGGCUAGUGUCCUAGCGGCGGACGGGUGAGUAACGCGUGGGCAACCUGCCCUCAAGACCGGGAUACCAACUCGAAAGGGUUGUUAAUACCGGAUGUGAUGGAUGGCUCGCAUGAGUUGUUCAUCAAAGGAGCGAUCCGCUUGAGGAGGGGCCUGCGUUCCAUUAGCUAGUUGGUGAGGUAGCGGCUCACCAAGGCGACGAUGGAUAGCCGGCCUGAGAGGGUGGCCGGCCACACUGGGACUGAAAUACGGCCCAGACUCCUACGGGGGGCAGCAGUGGGGAAUCUUGCACAAUGGGCGAAAGCCUGAUGCAGCAACGCCGCGUGAGGGAAGAAGGUCUUCGGAUCGUAAACCUCUGUCCAGAGGGAAGAAGGAAGUGACGGUACCUUUGGAGGAAGCCCCGGCUAACUACGUG